Molecule: non-coding RNA, 152 nt
Organism: Schistosoma mansoni
Lineage: Eukaryota; Metazoa; Platyhelminthes; Trematoda; Strigeidida; Schistosomatidae
Source: Rfam
ACCUUUGAGAGGUGGAUCACUCGGCUCGUAUGUUGAUGAAGAGUGCAGCCAACUGUGUGAAUUAAUGUGAACUGCAUACUGCUUUGAACAUCGACAACGUGAACGCAUAUCGCGGCUACGUAUAUCCUGUGGCCACCCCUGUCCGACGGUCG